This is a long non-coding RNA of Meriones unguiculatus (Mongolian gerbil), 480 nucleotides long. RefSeq lists it as uncharacterized. NCBI's taxonomy places the organism in Eukaryota, Metazoa, Chordata, Mammalia, Rodentia, Muridae. The record is from RefSeq and is a predicted model, not a curated record. The transcript is spliced from 2 exons.
CGAGGUUCGGCCCGUUUAACCUCCACCUAAACAAAGCAAGCGCACUUUAGGGGGAAGCCGCGGUGGCGCCCCUGCCCUGCAGACACCCGUGGUGGCUUACAACUACACUUAACACCUUACGACUUAAAGUACCACAGUUGCAUCUGGAAGACGCCUUGUGCCCCCCCACUGCAAGCAGCAGGAGGCCAAGAGCCCUCGGGAGACGGCGAGGCGGGGCGCCAAGGGUGCCCUCUUCAGACUGGUGGCAGUCUCCUUCCACCCGAGCCCACCCGCCGCCCCCGCAUACCUGAGAAACACGCUGGCUUUGACUCGAUUAUUUAGAAUGUCUAGUGGAAGAUAAAGACUUACCUUCCCCAGGCUAACGCUUAAAGAGUCUCAGUUAACUCAAAGGCAUGUCAGAGGGAAUGAUGUAAGAGCCUUACAAUACAGCUAACAAAAAAGUCAACAAACAUGCAAUAAAAUGGACAUUGGGAUCAGUAA